AUGCAAGAAAAUGGUGUGAAUUGUGGUGUUGUAGAGUGGGUUGAUGGGCCUUGGCCUACUGUUCUUCAGAGAUGUUUGUGCAAGCUAUGGGAAAUGUUCCAUGAGCAGAACUGUGGAAGGGUACUUGACAAGGAGAAUUUUGAGAAGGAGUUGGCCAAGCUUAAGAGUGAACAUGAAAGGGAGUUGGCCAAGCUUAGGACUGAAAAUGACAAGCUUUGCAUUGAGUACACCAAGCUUGUUGAUGAUGUAUCCAAGAUGUUUGAUUGGCAGGAUGGUAGGGUGGACAAGAAGGUGUACCAGAAACAAGUGGAGGAGGAAGAACUUGAGAAGAAGAAGAAGGAGCUAGAGGAGAAAGCUAUGCUGGAGGUG
Molecule: ribosomal RNA, 369 nt
Filed under: Triticum aestivum (bread wheat)
Lineage: Eukaryota; Viridiplantae; Streptophyta; Magnoliopsida; Poales; Poaceae
Description: partial small subunit ribosomal RNA
Source: RNAcentral